UUGUGUGACUUAUACGACGGAAGUGGCUAGACAAUAAAGAAUGGUGUAAGUAAGAGAAUGACUAUGUUGAGAGUGCUGCGACUUUGGAAACUACAGUUUGUGAAGUUCGUCAUAAGGGAAUGAAUUGUGUAGUAUAUUAUGAUGAUGAAGUUGCACCAACCAAAAUCAAAAGUUCUACGGUGGUUUUAUAGGGUGGGUGUAUAUCAUUACAGGGUCAUUGUACGACGGCUACGACGGUACUCGUGUUAUCUUGGUUAGGG
Molecule: long non-coding RNA, 260 nt
Filed under: Solanum tuberosum (potato)
Lineage: Eukaryota; Viridiplantae; Streptophyta; Magnoliopsida; Solanales; Solanaceae
Description: long non-coding RNA (STUB_LNC000052)
Source: RNAcentral